GGCAUUUGCACUCAACUGUCACAGCCAGUAGUGAUAAUCCAACCCAUUUGGUGCAUGUGACAGCUUUUUCAAGAGCGUUUCUAACAGUGGCUGGAACAAGGCAGUUAAUGGCAGAAGUUACUGUAAUAAGAGAGAGUGUCUGUGUGGUUCUAGGGGAACCCUUUGCUCUACAGGAAAAGAAACAUAAACAAACAAGGAAACGGAGACAUAGAGAAGUGAGAUCCCUUGUCCAAGGCCACAUGACUUAAAAGUGCAAAGCUUGGAAAUGAACUCAGCCAGUCCAUUUCCUGAGCCUGUGGGCUAUCCACUACCACAAAUCCCUGAGAGUUAAGCCAUCUCUGAUUUCAAAGGCUCAUAAAUUAAAAUAUCUAAAUAUGUUAUGGAUAGAGUGGAAUUUUAUUUCUACAUUAUCUAUAAGAUUUGAGCUAUUCUCACUAACAAGUCCUUGGAAACAUUCAUGUUAAUUUCCAUAAGUUUGGAGCCUCCGAU
RNAcentral lists this long non-coding RNA (489 nucleotides) under Homo sapiens (human). Its description in RNAcentral is "HSALNT0342429". Lineage: Eukaryota; Metazoa; Chordata; Mammalia; Primates; Hominidae. The record is from RNAcentral.